UUAAAAGUAAACUAAUUAAAGUUAAGUUUUUGUUAAAAACUUUAUGAGUUUAUAAACUCCUUUUAAG
Molecule: transfer RNA, 67 nt
Filed under: Sacculina sp. 'Beibu Gulf'
Lineage: Eukaryota; Metazoa; Arthropoda; Thecostraca; Sacculinidae
Description: tRNA-Asn
Source: RNAcentral